RNAcentral lists this ribosomal RNA (216 nucleotides) under Glomeromycotina sp. Its description in RNAcentral is "partial small subunit ribosomal RNA". The stretch from base 40 to 216 matches the Rfam family "Eukaryotic small subunit ribosomal RNA", at positions 686 to 864 of the family's 1831-position model. Lineage: Eukaryota; Fungi; Glomeromycota. The record is from RNAcentral.
GGGUCAGUAGGUUGGUCGUGCCACCGGUACGUACUGGUCUCACUGAUUCCUCCUUCCUGAAGAACCGUAAUGCCAUUAAUUUGGUGUUGCGGGGAAACAGGACUGUUACUUUGAAAAAAUUAGAGUGUUCAAAGCAAGCUAACGCUUGAAUACAUUAGCAUGGAAUAAUGAAAUAGGACGAUCGAUCCUAUUUUGUUAGUUUCUAGGAUUGACGUA